This 214-nucleotide ribosomal RNA is filed under the name uncultured bacterium. RNAcentral's name for it is "partial 16S ribosomal RNA". It matches the Rfam family "Bacterial small subunit ribosomal RNA", at positions 315 to 524 of the family's 1533-position model. The record is from RNAcentral.
CCGCAGCAGCCGCGGUAAUUCCUACGGGAGGCAGCAGUGGGGAAUUUUGGGCAAUGGGCGCAAGCCUGAUCCAGCAAUGCCGCGUGAGUGAAGAAGGCCUUCGGGUUGUAAAGCUCUUUCAGUCGAGAAGAAAAGGCUGCAGUGAAUAACUGUAGUUUAUGACGGUAUCGACAGAAGAAGCACCGGCUAACUACGUGCCAGCAGCCGCGGUAAU